UACGAAGGGGGCUAGCGUUGCUCGGAAUCACUGGGCGUAAAGGGUGCGUAGGCGGCCAUUCAAGUCAGAGGUGAAAGCCCAAGGCUCAACCUUGGAACUGCCUUUGAUACUGUUUGGCUUGAGACCGGUAGAGGUAAGUGGAACUGCGAGUGUAGAGGUGAAAUUCGUAGAUAUUCGCAAGAACACCAGUGGCGAAGGCGGCUUACUGGACCGGUUCUGACGCUGAGGCGCGAAAGCGUGGGGAGCAAACAGG
RNAcentral lists this ribosomal RNA (253 nucleotides) under uncultured bacterium. Its description in RNAcentral is "partial 16S ribosomal RNA". It matches the Rfam family "Bacterial small subunit ribosomal RNA", at positions 524 to 776 of the family's 1533-position model. The record is from RNAcentral.